GAGAAACGCAGACCCACAACAAGACUAAAAUCUAGAGUUGCGUUUUCUUCUGCUUUCCCUUUUGGAAUCCUCCCGCCCAAUUCCCAUAAAGUGUAUUGUUUCAAAACUGAUUUUAAUUUGGGGUUUGUUUGCUUUUCGCCCUGCCACGGCCCUGUCUUUGUUGAUCGAAAGCAUUCCUCCGGUGGCCACAAAUAUUUUCCACGGGACGCUUGGGAGAGGAGAAAAGGUCACACUUCAAUGGUCUCCUUAUACAACAAUCCACGGCCAUGGAAAAGGAUCCUUGCCCUUGUUGUUGUACCAACACCCGCAAUCCUCCGCCAACUCAGCAAUCUUCCUUCUCGCUGAAACUCUGGAUGCACACAACGGACCGAUUGUAGAAAGCGGCUGUGUGACUUCGUGUGUUAUCUUCCCAGCUGUUUUUGUUAAGUUUUGCUUUUUGCCUUUUUUUUCCAGAUUAGUUUUCGCUACAAUUUGUGGCCGAGUGUCUUUUUUUUUCUUUCUCCCUCCCUAAAAAAAAUAUAUGAAAAAAAUCAAAUAAAAAUAAAAUUCUGCUGGGAACAAA
Long non-coding RNA from Pantherophis guttatus, 562 nucleotides. RefSeq lists it as uncharacterized. The record is from RefSeq and is a predicted model, not a curated record. Lineage: Eukaryota; Metazoa; Chordata; Lepidosauria; Squamata; Colubridae.